RNAcentral lists this long non-coding RNA (939 nucleotides) under Triticum aestivum (bread wheat). Its description in RNAcentral is "long non-coding RNA (TAES_LNC025960)". Lineage: Eukaryota; Viridiplantae; Streptophyta; Magnoliopsida; Poales; Poaceae. The record is from RNAcentral.
GAAAAUGUGCUCCAGAAGCUCCAAUUUUCGAACACAAUUCUUUACAUUGCACUGUGUACCUUGCUUGCUCUAUAAUUUGAAACACAACUGAUCAUGUCCUCUGAAGAAAUGUUACAAAAAAAAGUUCAGUUAACUGUUAUGGUCUAAAAUGGGAGAAGGAAAACAACUCUAGAAUCAUUCAUGGUCUGUAGCAUUUUCACCAGUUAUAAGUGUUCUGUCAAUUUCUGUAAUGUUCACUAUGACAUGGAGUGUUAAGUACUGUCAAUUUUGUUUCUGUAAUUCCAAUAAGAACAUUACAGUAGAUUAUUGUCAAUUUUUGUAAUGAUGAUGGAACAAUCUUUAGGUUGCCAUGAUUGAAAUUUCUGUUUCUAAACUGUCAAUUUCUCUAUUAUGUCAAGAUCAACAAGCAAUAGAAAAACAUUAAGGUAACUAGAUAUUGACAGUAAAUGAAUGCUACUCCAAAUUUAGUUUUCUUUGGGCAAAAAGUUGCUUCUCUUAACAAACUUUUGACUAAAUUUUUGUUAAACAGGUUAGAACAAGCAAAAAAAGACAUCACAGUUUUAAUCAAGGACCGAAUCUUAGAUCACAAAAGGGAUAGCCUAGAGUUUAGACUUUUUCUCUGUUAAACCAAGAACAACAGGCAGGAUCUCCUCGAGGACGCGUUGCAAUUCAGAGACAACCGACAUACCCCCAUGAUCUUCAGAGAAAAAUCAACAGUUCAGAAAAAUAAAUGGGACCUAAUUCUCACUACUCACUCAUCACUAGUCAAGUAAUCCACGACAGGCAAAGGGCAGUGAUCAACAUAGACAUAUCUUCAGCCAGUAGGACGACGUUCAAACGGAGGGUCGUCAGGUGAUCGCCGAGCUCCUUGGAGACCAGAAAUGGGUAACAGGAAAUCUAGAUACACUGCGUGAGCAUGUAUGUUUAAUUAUUCCACUG